UAUUACAAAUUUGGGAAACGAAUAAUAAUAAUAAUAAUAAUAAUAAUAAUAAUAAUAAUAAUAAUAAAACAAAGGAUUGACAUAAAUAAGAUUAAACAUUAUAAUAUAAUUGAAAAGGAGUAAUAAUUAUGGAGGGCCUUUGGAUCAAUAAUUAAUAGUUUAGGGGAGACUUUUCAAAAACAAAAUUAAGUUUCAAUUGACGGGAGCGUGAUUAAAUGGCAGAUGGUAGUCUCCUGGUACCAUCGUUUGUCGUGAAUGGCUAACUUGCUCCUCCGGCGAAGCUUAGAAGCUGUGAAUAGGUUUCCGGUGAAACUCAGUUGCAUUUCUACAGUCUACACACGAGUAAGAGAGAUAGAGGUCUCUGUGUUUUGGCUCUUGAAAAGAUAAAUAAAGACGGGGGCUAAAUUUAAAGUUCUAUCCUUCUUUGUUGUUUUCCGACAAUUGUUCCUCCGAUGGUAAGCUCCUCCGAUGGAUAGUUGAAGUAGUCUUAUAAACCGACAGAGCGGUGGUGACGAAAGUGAGGUAUAUGUGUUGCAAUUGCUAAACUAACUUUCCGGAGGCGUAACUGAGAUAUUUAAUGGCAGUUACGCUCACGUUUAGGCUGGAUCUGGAGGGUUAAGGUUCAAGUAUACAAACAUUCUUCAUCAUUGUUUUGUGGAUCCAAUGUAAGACUCUGUUGUUCUCUGACAGGUUCUUAAGUCCUCCGACGAGCUAAGCUUCUCCGACAGCGAACCAGUGGAAUGGGUGGAGUUAAUUUAACUGAUCCAUUCAGCAAGGUGAAGAAAACUGUUCCUGUGUGUGUGAUGUUAGCACUCGUGAAGACCGAUCAUAUCUUGAGAGAUUCCGGCGAAGAUUCAUUGUUUCUAAUCUCCGACGAUGCUGUCUAUUUCUAGUUCAUUUUCCUGCAUAAAGACCGAUAGCACUAGACCUUCUGUUAAUGGAGAUUUCAUGCUUAGGCUGUAAUUGACAUAUACAUUUAAUUUGUAGUAUUUCUAACAAAAGAGUUUAGAGAGAGAUCAAGUGAUCAGUAAAGCUUGGCGAGGAGAUCAUGGGCGGAACCGGGGUUCCUUAUGUUCAUAUGUUCGACUUUUCCGGUUAAGCUAAUCUCGAUAGCGAGGUUCGUAUAGUCGUUCCUGAUUGGACGCGUCAUGAUAUCACCAUUAAUGAGCAUUGAGGGAAACGUUGGUGAGGAGGAUAUUGUGAAUGAUUUUGACCAUUUUGUUCUUCCUUUCAUUUAUUUAUGGUUGUGAGGGAGUAAUUUUCAAAAUGAAUUAUUAACUAUUUAUUUAUUUAUGGUGGUGUAGCGGUUAUAGUUAUAGUUAGUAUUAUGAAAUUGUUCAUGUCAUGUUAGAAUUUGAGACCUGAAAUUUAAGAGACAAAACUUCUACCAAACAAGGAAUUAUCAACUUAUUGUUUUUUCAAAAAUUCAAUAAGUUAAUGGUACUUUAGUUUUACAUUUUUUUCCUUGAAAUGUUCCUUAUCAAAUAUUUUUUCCCAGAG
RNAcentral lists this long non-coding RNA (1500 nucleotides) under Lactuca sativa (garden lettuce). RNAcentral's name for it is "long non-coding RNA (LSAT_LNC009515)". The record is from RNAcentral. Lineage: Eukaryota; Viridiplantae; Streptophyta; Magnoliopsida; Asterales; Asteraceae.